GUACUCGCUUUGGCAGCACAUAUAUUAAAAUUGGAAAGAUACAGAGAAGAUGAGCAUGGCCCCUGCACAAGGAUGACAUACAAAUUCAUGAAGCAUUCCAUAUUUUU
This 107-nucleotide small nuclear RNA is filed under the name Mandrillus leucophaeus (drill). Lineage: Eukaryota; Metazoa; Chordata; Mammalia; Primates; Cercopithecidae. The record is from RNAcentral.